RNAcentral lists this long non-coding RNA (552 nucleotides) under Homo sapiens (human). RNAcentral describes it as "non-protein coding lnc-BCL7C-1:4". The record is from RNAcentral. Lineage: Eukaryota; Metazoa; Chordata; Mammalia; Primates; Hominidae.
UGCUUCCCCUUCCGCCAUGACUGUAAGUUUCCUGGGACCUCUCCAGCCAUGCUGAACCGAUUCGGGAGUGAGAAUGACGAGGAGAGCCCUUCACGAGAAGGGGCUGAAGACAGAGCCCCUCAGGAGGCUCCUGCCCAGGAGGGGCCUCCGGACAAAUGUCCGGCCCAGUUCCAUGGCGGUGCCGGACACCAGAGCUCCCGGGGGAGGCAGCAAGGCCCCGAGGGCACCCAGAACAAUCCCCCAGGGUAAGGGGAGGUGAGUGGGCUCCCCAAGCAAGCCAAGACCCCUAAAGCCUCCCUUGGCUGCCCCAAGAUCCAGCCACUACCUGUGCCCCGAGGGCGGAAAGAGCUUCCCAGCUCACCCACCGCGGUAACAUCGGAGGGCGAGCGGCCCCACACCUGCCCGAACCUAAGGCCACAGCACCCAUCUGGCUCGCCACUGGCGCCCGAAUGCAUGGGAAGGGCUUAGGGCAGAACUCGGACCACAUCCAGUGCCUGAGGCCGCCUUGCUAGAGGCCUAGGGGAGGGGUGCACUGGGCUGCCUCGCCCACCU